GCGUGGAUAGCUCAGUUGGGAGAGCGUCAGACUGAAGAUCAGAAGGUCGCGUGUUCGAUCAAUGCUCACCGCA
Molecule: transfer RNA, 73 nt
Filed under: Triticum aestivum (bread wheat)
Lineage: Eukaryota; Viridiplantae; Streptophyta; Magnoliopsida; Poales; Poaceae
Rfam family: tRNA
About the family: Transfer RNA (tRNA) molecules are approximately 80 nucleotides in length. Their secondary structure includes four short double-helical elements and three loops (D, anti-codon, and T loops). Further hydrogen bonds mediate the characteristic L-shaped molecular structure. tRNAs have two regions of fundamental functional importance: the anti-codon, which is responsible for specific mRNA codon recognition, and the 3' end, to which the tRNAs corresponding amino acid is attached (by aminoacyl-tRNA synthetases). tRNAs cope with the degeneracy of the genetic code in two manners: having more than one tRNA (with a specific anti-codon) for a particular amino acid; and 'wobble' base-pairing, i.e. permitting non-standard base-pairing at the 3rd anti-codon position.
Source: Rfam by way of RNAcentral